This 73-nucleotide transfer RNA is filed under the name Mustela putorius furo (domestic ferret). It matches the Rfam family "tRNA". From Rfam's summary of the family: Transfer RNA (tRNA) molecules are approximately 80 nucleotides in length. Their secondary structure includes four short double-helical elements and three loops (D, anti-codon, and T loops). The record is from Rfam by way of RNAcentral. Lineage: Eukaryota; Metazoa; Chordata; Mammalia; Carnivora; Mustelidae.
ACCUGGCUGGCUCAGUCAGUAGGGCAUGUGACUCUUAAUCCCAAGGUUGUGAGUUUGAACCCCAUGUUGAGUG